RNAcentral lists this long non-coding RNA (868 nucleotides) under Cottoperca gobio. RNAcentral's name for it is "lncRNA (ENSCGOG00000008992.1)". Lineage: Eukaryota; Metazoa; Chordata; Actinopteri; Perciformes; Bovichtidae. The record is from RNAcentral.
CUCUCCCCAUACGACCAUUCUGCAACGUAUGUAUAAUAACAUGUUCUGUCAUGCUCUCUUUGUUUCUCCUGGUGCUUCAGUGUUGCUGAUCCAGACGUCACCUCCUCGUCCCUGGCUCAGAGACAGCCGGCCUGCAGCAGAGUGGAGGAGCUCCAGCAUAGAGCUGCUCAGCUCCCCACUUUGUUCCCCUGGCCCGGCGCUUCUGAGCGCAGACACAUCUGCCUUCAAGCCCGUCAACUGCACGAUGAGGCUGAAUCCCUGCAAUUAACUCUAACGAGCCUGGCUGAGCAGAGGAGGGAGCUGUUGGAACAAACCAGCGACGCCAUGUGGAACGAUUCGUCCUCGGCCGAGCGGGAGACCUACUGCUCACUGAUGGACGAGCUGAAGGGUGUGUGUUCCCGCCUGGAGGAAGGUGUGUGUGAUGAGGAACAGUUCGGUCAGUCAGUGCAGGCCUGCCAUCGUAAGUUGACAUCCCUGCAGGAAAGGAUGUCCGCCUGGCAAGCCCAGAAAGAAGCACCUCUGGAGGUGAGGUUGUGUUACAUUUUAUGCAUUUAAACUAUGAAAAAUAGUUUCCUGACAUUUAUCCACCUUUAUCUUAUUUCUUUCUAUCACUCUCCACUUUUCAGGCUUUGCUUCAGGAAGUAACCGACGUAGAAGAAGACCUUUUACAAAUUGUAACACUGAAGGACUCCAUCACAGCCAGCUCUACAGCUGAGGCCCGGGCCAGCCUCUCCCAGCAAGUCAGCGACCUACAGAACCACAAGAGGGCAGUAGACGGUAGCGUCAGAGAACAUGUGGCUCUGCUCACAGAAAGCAACAACCGGAGAGUUCAACGUGUGAAGGAUGAGGUCACCUGUGUUCAAACCGC